This 731-nucleotide ribosomal RNA is filed under the name uncultured bacterium. RNAcentral's name for it is "bacterial SSU rRNA". It matches the Rfam family "Bacterial small subunit ribosomal RNA", at positions 56 to 786 of the family's 1533-position model. The record is from RNAcentral.
UGCAGUCGACGGUAACAGGUCUUCGGAUGCUGACGAGUGGCGAACGGGUGAGUAAUACAUCGGAACGUGCCCGAUCGUGGGGGAUAACGGAGCGAAAGCUUUGCUAAUACCGCAUACGAUCUACGGAUGAAAGCAGGGGACCGCAAGGCCUUGCGCGGACGGAGCGGCCGAUGGCAGAUUAGGUAGUUGGUGGGAUAAAAGCUUACCAAGCCGACGAUCUGUAGCUGGUCUGAGAGGACGACCAGCCACACUGGGACUGAGACACGGCCCAGACUCCUACGGGAGGCAGCAGUGGGGAAUUUUGGACAAUGGGCGAAAGCCUGAUCCAGCCAUGCCGCGUGCAGGAUGAAGGCCUUCGGGUUGUAAACUGCUUUUGUACGGAACGAAAAGACUCCUUCUAAUAAAGGGGGUUCAUGACGGUACCGUAAGAAUAAGCACCGGCUAACUACGUGCCAGCAGCCGCGGUAAUACGUAGGGUGCAAGCGUUAAUCGGAAUUACUGGGCGUAAAGCGUGCGCAGGCGGUUAUAUAAGACAGAUGUGAAAUCCCCGGGCUCAACCUGGGAACUGCAUUUGUGACUGUAUAGCUAGAGUACGGCAGAGGGGGAUGGAAUUCCGCGUGUAGCAGUGAAAUGCGUAGAUAUGCGGAGGAACACCGAUGGCGAAGGCAAUCCCCUGGGCCUGUACUGACGCUCAUGCACGAAAGCGUGGGGAGCAAACAGGAUUAGAUACC